UCAGUGAUACCUAGUAGUAUGUAGUGGCAACCCAAUAAAACUAAAAUGAACCUCUAGAUGUAGUUAACGUGUGAUUUAGUUCUUCUAUCAUGAGUCCCGACUAGAUGGUAGGUCAUAGAUAAAUCAUCAAACCUUAACAUCAGUCAUAUGAUAAAUUGAUUAGCUCAAGUCGAGUUGUGACUUCUAUAGAAACUCUUUUCCAUCAAUCACAUUACUGUGGUCACAGACUCUUGAACUUAGCCUCUCAAAUAUCAUAGGACUACAUCUCUCUAUCAAGAUCGAUAGAUCCUAUAUUGAUGCGCACCC
RNAcentral lists this long non-coding RNA (306 nucleotides) under Elaeis guineensis (African oil palm). RNAcentral's name for it is "long non-coding RNA (EGUI_LNC051796)". The record is from RNAcentral. Lineage: Eukaryota; Viridiplantae; Streptophyta; Magnoliopsida; Arecales; Arecaceae.